CAGGCUUAACACAUGCAAGUCGAGGGGCAGCAUGGUCUUAUCUUGCUAAGGCCGACGGCGACCGGCGCACGGGUGAGUAACACGUAUCCAACCUGCCGUCUACUCUUGGACAGCCUUCUGAAAGGAAGAUUAAUACAAGAUGGCAUCAUGAGUCCGCAUGUUCACAUGAUUAAAGGUAUUCCGGUAGACGAUGGGGAUGCGUUCCAUUAGAUAGUAGGCGGGGUAACGGCCCACCUAGUCUUCGAUGGAUAGGGGUUCUGAGAGGAAGGUCCCCCACAUUGGAACUGAGACACGGUCCAAACUCCUACGGGAGGCAGCAGUGAGGAAUAUUGGUCAAUGGGCGAGAGCCUGAACCAGCCAAGUAGCGUGAAGGAUGACUGCCCUAUGGGUUGUAAACUUCUUUUAUAAAGGAAUAAAGUCGGGUAUGGAUACCCGUUUGCAUGUACUUUAUGAAUAAGGAUCGGCUAACUCCGUGCCAGCAGCCGCGGUAAUACGGAGGAUCCGAGCGUUAUCCGGAUUUAUUGGGUUUAAAGGGAGCGUAGAUGGAUGUUUAAGUCAGUUGUGAAAGUUUGCGGCUCAACCGUAAAAUUGCAGUUGAUACUGGAUAUCUUGAGUGCAGUUGAUGCAGGCGGAAUUCGUGGUGUAGCGGUGAAAUGCUUAGAUAUCACGAAGAACUCCGAUUGCGAAGGCAGCCUGCUAAGCUGCAACUGACAUUGAGGCUCGAAAGUGUGGGUAUCAAACAGGAUUAGAUACCCUGGUAGUCCACACGGUAAACGAUGAAUACUCGCUGUUUGCGAUAUACUGCAAGCGGCCAAGCGAAAGCGUUAAGUAUUCCACCUGGGGAGUACGCCGGCAACGGUGAAACUCAAAGGAAUUGACGGGGGCCCGCACAAGCGGAGGAACAUGUGGUUUAAUUCGAUGAUACGCGAGGAACCUUACCCGGGCUUAAAUUGCAGAUGAAUUACGGUGAAAGCCGUAAGCCGCAAGGCAUCUGCGAAGGUGCUGCAUGGUUGUCGUCAGCUCGUGCCGUGAGGUGUCGGCUUAAGUGCCAUAACGAGCGCAACCCUUGUUGUCAGUUACUAACAGGUUCCGCUGAGGACUCUGACAAGACUGCCAUCGUAAGAUGUGAGGAAGGUGGGGAUGACGUCAAAUCAGCACGGCCCUUACGUCCGGGGCUACACACGUGUUACAAUGGGGGGUACAGAGGGCCGCUACCACGCGAGUGGAUGCCAAUCCCCAAAACCUCUCUCAGUUCGGACUGGAGUCUGCAACCCGACUCCACGAAGCUGGAUUCGCUAGUAAUCGCGCAUCAGCCACGGCGCGGUGAAUACGUUCCCGGGCCUUGUACACACCGCCCGUCAAGCCAUGGGAGCCGGGGGUACCUGAAGUGCGUAACCGCGAGGAGCGCCCUAGGGUAAAACUGGUGAC
This 1428-nucleotide ribosomal RNA is filed under the name uncultured organism. RNAcentral's name for it is "16S ribosomal RNA". It matches the Rfam family "Bacterial small subunit ribosomal RNA". The record is from RNAcentral.